AUGGAUAUGGAGGCAAUCCUAAACAUUCCCCUUAGCAGCAGAAUUCAAGCGGAUUUCUGGUCUUGGCAUUAUGAGCAAAGUGGGAUUUUCACAGUCAGGUCAGCAUACAGAUUACUAGCCUCCACCAAGCAGCAGCGCACCGACUGUCUUGAGCACAACGAUGGCCACUCCAACAUCCAAGCCGUCAGCCGGUCAUGGUCCAAGCUUUGGGGAGCGGCGGUCCCCUCCAAGGUGAGGGUUUUUGCCUGGCGUUUAGCCAAAACCUCAAUACCCACAGGGGCGGUCCGGAAGCACAGAAGUAUGGCAGACUCCGCGGAAUGCUCUAUUUGCCAUGCGGCAGUUGACUCAUGGCGCCAUGCUUUAUUUGAUUGUCAUAUGGCAUGCUGUGUUUGGGCGCUCGCCGAUGAGGACACCACUGCAACGAUCAUAUCCAACCGAACCGAAGAUGCAAAGCUUUGGAUGUUUUGGCUGAAGUUCAUGGCGGAGCUGGGCCAAAUUCCAAAGAAAGGGGCACGUACAAGAGAACUGCACGCGUCAUCCAAGGACCUGCAUGUGACGCCUGGGGGCAUGCAUGUAACUCCCAGGGACCUGUCUGCAAGAUCCGGAGUGCAUAUGGUGGCUUCUCUAAGAUUGGGGACAGGGGCGCCUCAGUCGUGGUGUGCCGAGACAAACAGGGUAACUAUCUGGGAGCUUCUGCCAUCAUUUUUUAAGGUUGUUUGGAGCCAGCAAUUCUUGAGGCACGAGCAUGCAGUGAGGCGCUAG
This 762-nucleotide ribosomal RNA is filed under the name Triticum aestivum (bread wheat). RNAcentral describes it as "partial small subunit ribosomal RNA". Lineage: Eukaryota; Viridiplantae; Streptophyta; Magnoliopsida; Poales; Poaceae. The record is from RNAcentral.